UACAGAGGGUGCAAGCGUUAAUCGGAAUUACUGGGCGUAAAGCGUGCGUAGACGGUUACAUAAGUCGGGUGUGAAAGCCCCGGGCUCAACCUGGGAAUUGCAUUUGAGACUGCGUAGCUAGGGUGCGGAAGAGGGAAGCGGAAUUUCCGGUGUAGCGGUGAAAUGCGUAGAUAUCGGAAGGAACACCAGUGGCGAAAGCGGCUUCCUGGUCCAGCACCGACGUUCAGGCACGAAAGCGUGGGGAGCAAACAGG
This 253-nucleotide ribosomal RNA is filed under the name uncultured bacterium. Its description in RNAcentral is "partial 16S ribosomal RNA". It matches the Rfam family "Bacterial small subunit ribosomal RNA", at positions 524 to 776 of the family's 1533-position model. The record is from RNAcentral.